Molecule: ribosomal RNA, 207 nt
Filed under: uncultured bacterium
Lineage: Bacteria
Description: partial 16S ribosomal RNA
Rfam family: Bacterial small subunit ribosomal RNA
Source: RNAcentral
CGCGCAGGCGGCCUUUUAAGUCUGAUGUGAAAGCCCCCGGCUCAACCGGGGAGGGUCAUUGGAAACUGGAAGGCUUGAGUACAGAAGAGAAGAGUGGAAUUCCAUGUGUAGCGGUGAAAUGCGUAGAGAUGUGGAGGAACACCAGUGGCGAAGGCGACUCUUUGGUCUGUAACUGACGCUGAGGCGCGAAAGCGUGGGGAGCAAACA